CUGGGUCUGCCUUUAACCGCAGCAUCCACCGGGUCUUCCAGGAUAAGCAGAUUGAGGUAGGCCCACCUCAUCCCCUGCCCAGCCUACCCCUCCCCAGAGGAGCCCCCUGCUCCUCCCCCACCUCGAUCCCUGUCCCCGCAGGACCUGUGGCUGCCUUACUUCAACGUGACCACAGAUAUCACCGCCUCAGCCAUGCGAGUCCACAAAGAUGGCUCCCUGUGGCGGUAUGUGCGCGCCAGCAUGACGCUGUCGGGCUACCUGCCCCCGCUGUGCGACCCCAAGGAUGGGCACCUACUCAUGGAUGGCGGCUACAUCAACAAUCUGCCAGGCAAGUGGCUGCCCUCACCACCCGCACACGCAAGCACCUCCCGCACCACACACACGCACACGCAUGGGCACACGCAGACAGGCUCAAUGAUGGGACACGUGCCCAAGCUGCCCAUACAGGGGUGCAGACACACAUGCGCACACAUAUGGUCACGUGCACAAGUUGAUACAUGAACGUGCCUGGGGACAGCGACAUGUGCGGUUGAAAUCUACAUUCUGGCCGGGCGCGGUGGCUC
RNAcentral lists this small RNA (563 nucleotides) under Pongo abelii (Sumatran orangutan). RNAcentral's name for it is "retained intron". Lineage: Eukaryota; Metazoa; Chordata; Mammalia; Primates; Hominidae. The record is from RNAcentral.